Castor canadensis (American beaver) is the source of this 3857-nucleotide non-coding RNA. Lineage: Eukaryota; Metazoa; Chordata; Mammalia; Rodentia; Castoridae. The record is from RefSeq and is a predicted model, not a curated record.
CGUGGGCCUCCUACAUGACCAACUCUCCAACUCUCAUUGUUAUGAUUGGCUUGCCAGCCCGGGGUAAAACCUAUGUGUCCAAGAAACUAACCCGCUAUCUCAACUGGAUUGGGGUGCCCACCAAAGUGUUUAAUCUUGGAGUGUAUCGCCGUGAAGCAGUGAAGUCCUAUAAAUCCUAUGACUUCUUUCGGCAUGAUAACAAGGAGGCCAUGCAGAUCCGCAAACAGUGUGCUCUGGUAGCACUGGAGGAUGUUAAGGCCUACCUCACUGAGGAGAAUGGGCAGAUUGCAGUGUUUGAUGCUACCAAUACGACCCGGGAAAGGAGGGACAUGAUUUUGGACUUUGCCAAGCAGAAUUCCUUCAAGGUAUUCUUUGUGGAAUCUGUCUGUGAUGAUCCUGAUGUCAUUGCUGCCAAUAUCCUGGAGGUAAAGGUGUCAAGUCCUGACUACCCUGAAAGAAACAGAGAGAAUGUGAUGGAGGACUUCCUCAAGAGAAUUGAGUGCUAUAAAGUCACCUACCGACCCCUUGACCCAGACAACUAUGACAAGGAUCUUUCUUUUAUCAAGGUGAUGAAUGUGGGCCAGCGAUUUUUGGUCAACAGAGUCCAGGACUACAUCCAGAGCAAGAUAGUGUACUACCUCAUGAAUAUCCACGUCCAGCCUCGUACAAUUUACCUCUGCCGACACGGGGAGAGUGAAUUCAAUCUCCUAGGGAAGAUUGGGGGUGACUCGGGCCUCUCUGUGCGGGGAAAACAGUUUGCCCAAGCUCUAAGGAAGUUUCUGGAGGAACAGGAGAUACAAGACCUCAAGGUGUGGACAAGCCAGUUGAAGAGGACUAUCCAGACUGCUGAAUCUCUUGGGGUGACCUACGAGCAGUGGAAGAUUCUGAAUGAAAUUGAUGCUGGCGUGUGUGAGGAGAUGACGUAUGCAGAGAUUGAAAAGCGGUACCCAGAGGAAUUUGCACUUCGAGAUCAAGAGAAGUAUCUGUAUCGAUAUCCUGGUGGGGAGUCAUACCAGGACCUGGUACAGAGGCUGGAGCCUGUCAUCAUGGAGCUGGAACGUCAGGGCAAUGUUCUCGUCAUCUGCCACCAGGCUGUCAUGCGCUGUCUCCUUGCCUACUUCUUGGAUAAGGGUGCAGAUGAACUGCCAUACUUGAGGUGUCCACUCCAUACCAUCUUCAAACUUACUCCUGUGGCUUAUGGGUGCAAAGUAGAAACAAUUACACUCAACGUGGAGGCUGUGAACACUCACCGUGACAAGCCAACUAACAACUUUCCCAAGAACCAAACCCCUGUAAGGAUGAGAAGGAACAGCUUUACGCCUCUGUCCAGUUCGAAUACAAUCAGGCGUCCAAGAAAUUACAGUGUUGGGAGCCGGCCCCUCAAGCCCCUCAGCCCUCUCCAUGCCCUGGACAUGCAAGAAGGGGCCAACCAGCCGAAGACCCAAGGGCAAGAUGGAAAGUUGGGUCUUUUAAGACAGGUUCCCAGAUGGGAUGGUCUGAAGGAGGAGGAAAAGAGUAUGUACUCCCUGGGGCUACGCAUGCCUCAUGUACUUGGUUCUUCUCUCUGUUCCCUGUCACCUAAACUGACUAAUGUCCUUGUGUUGAUUAAGUGGAGGGAUGGUGUUAAAUGGAGAGAGACAAAACCCCUUUGUUUCUUGUCUCUUUAAUGUGUCUUUUACUCACAAUACUUACUUGACUUCCCCUCUUCCAUUUCCACUUUGGAUUGCCCAGUGUAAUGCAUGGCAUUGUGGUGGCUUUGGAAGGAAGGGCGGUUGGUGCGGAAGAAGUCUGGGCUCCGUUGAUUCUGUCUUCAGUGGGUCUACAUGGAUCUGCACUGGGGUAGUCUUUCCUUUCCUUUCUCCCCUCCUCUCCAGCCAGGUCCUGCAAGGGUCAGCCCAGGCUAUAGAACAUCCACAGAAUGCUCUGGAGCUUGCAAAUGGACAUAGGGGUCACCAGGUGCUUCAUAGAAACAUUUAACAUUUGAGAAACACUGUCACAGAGGGAAGAAUUACUAACAAGGAGAAUGUGAAGGCUGUGCUUAUACCCCCCUCCAUGGCAUCCCUCACACUGUGCUCCGAUGCUGUGAGGCUGAGGCCAGACAUCUCCACGGAAUCCAUCUCCUGAAAAGCUUGGGAAGUCAGCACCACUGAGGCUAGAACAGGAAGUUAAGUGGGGUCUGCAAAUUUGGGGCCACCAAAAUGAGGCCUAGAAAAAUAUCACCACCUUUUUUCCCCUCAUUCCUAAUGGGAGUAUUAGCUAUACUGUGCCUCACAAUGUUCAACAGCCUGAACUGAUGAAUUUUUAUUGUUUCUUUGCUGAAAUUGGCUCAGGUUUACAAAUAUUGUUCUGUUUAGGCAUUUUAUACCCUGUUACUGUGUGCACCCUCAGCUGGCUAUCCUUUGCCUAAAGUGCAAAUACACUUCUUCAAAAUUAGUUUCUAGGUGAGAGGAAUGAACUCCAGGAAGCCUUUCCCAUGCAGUUAGAGCUGGUAUUUGCAUCUGUGGCAGACAAGCUGACUGGAGUCCAGUGCCUGUAUGCUAGCAGUCAUUCUGGUCACACUUGAAACGAGACAAAUCGCCUGCUGUAUGGAGGGUAUCUGAGAAAUCAGUCCCUGAAUUGUCUCUUCUACAGUAAUGAAAGAGUGUUUCUCUAGCAUCCCUUUGACUCAGAGAACUUAUUCUCAUUCUAGGCCUUCCAGGACAGAAUGACUACAAGACACCUGCUACCCCCAAAGGGUGCCCAUCUUUAAGUUCUUUUUUGUAACUACUUUAUUUUCUACCCAAGGUUUAACACUCCUGGAUAAUUGAGAAUGGGGGCUGGUAAAAAAAAAAAAGUAGGGUGUUAUUUAUAUCCAAGAAAGAAAGAAAGAUGACUCCUUGGGAGUCAACUCUACCAGGGAGUUUUUGGUUUUUGUUUUUUUGUUUUUUCGGCUUCAAAACAAGUAGAGAUAGAUAUGCCCCUUGUUGGGGUCUCUAACAGAGCUGUGCUGUGACUUUGAGAGCUGCCCCUGAGCUAGUUGUCAUUAUCAUGAUCUGCUAGCUGGUCUCUCAUGUCACACUGCAGAAGCACGGGAGAAGAAAGACCUUGAUAUAUUCAUUAGUCAAUUGGUGUCAAAUGUACAAAUAGGUCUCUUUAAAUGUGAUUUUAAUAUGUUACUACUCCUGAGGAAGAAUGCAGACUCCCCCAAGUAAAUUAUAUCUAUUUUUUUAAGAUCUGGAUGUUUUUAACUUUAAAUGUUUUCCUCCUUUCACUAAGAUAAGUUGUUGGGCGAAAGGAUAAAUAGCAAGAAAAGUAAUGACGUACAGCUUUUGCUGAAUGGUUCUUUGAUACUGUAGAUGAUACAAAGACUGUUAUCUAAAAUGUGAUGAGCUGGACUGCAGGCAGUCCAGCAUCCAGCAAUGCAGAGCUUACUUUAUACGCACAAGCUGCCUUCAGAAAGGCUCCUCACCCUGCUCUGUAGUAGAUGAUGUUCAGCUGGCUACUUGUAGCAUGCUGUACUGUAAUGAUUUUGUUCUUGCGGUGCAGGUUUCUCUCUGCAUCUAAAAACCCUAUCUUCUGAUGAUCAGUGUUUUUAUUGAGUUAUUUAUUCUAUGUAAGGCAUUUUGAAGUUCUCAUUAUCAGCAUUUGCAUGUAUUUAAUCGGAAUGUAAUGUAAUUUAUGUUGUCAGUUUUUUGGUAGAAAUGUAGUUGGCUUGAACUUUCAAGUCUUAUGUUCAUAGUAUUACCUUAAGUUAAAUUUCUAGACUAUGAACAUCUGUUCUGUAAGAGGAUAAUAACAUGUUAUGUCACAGUGAGUUUUUUUAAAUACUGUUUUUCUCAUUGAUUUUUAUUAUAAGCCAAGAGAUGUAUUUUUCUGGA